GUCUGGCUGGCUGGGUCAGUACAGCAUCUGACUCUUGAUCUCAGGGCUGUGAGUUCAAGCCUCAUGUUGCACA
RNAcentral lists this transfer RNA (73 nucleotides) under Felis catus (domestic cat). It matches the Rfam family "tRNA". Rfam says of the family: Transfer RNA (tRNA) molecules are approximately 80 nucleotides in length. Their secondary structure includes four short double-helical elements and three loops (D, anti-codon, and T loops). RNAcentral also lists the same sequence under 3 other names. Lineage: Eukaryota; Metazoa; Chordata; Mammalia; Carnivora; Felidae. The record is from Rfam by way of RNAcentral.